GAAUGCUUAUGUAAGAACAUUUCAUCUCUCUGUGAGAUUGAGGACCCAUUCCAGAUGCAGCAUUUUUUACAUAAUUUCAAUGACAUUUUAAAUCAUCUUCACUACUUGUCUGGAUUGCCGAAGACUCAGACAGCUCUUCUCUAGUCUCUUGUGAUGACUUUAUGGUGGUAAUAAUGUCCACUGAAACUCCAAUCUUCACACAACAAGACACUCUUCCUCUACACAAGCACAAGAGCAAAGCGUACUCCUGUUUUCAUCAAGACACAGACAGAUUAAAAAAAUCCAGAUGUUUAAGGUGUCUUGUAAUGCUGUGGUCUGGCUGACUUUCCCUGGAUGUGCUGUUUAGCAGAGCCAAAGCAGAGCUUAAAAUCCUGGUCUUUGCCUCAUACUGUAAAACACCGGCCAAGUCCUGUUACUUACACAGAGUUUACACAUCCUCAUACUGUGAAGCUCAGGCUCCUCAUCAGUGAAAGCUCAGAUGGUGAGGAUUUAACCUUAUUGCAUGAUGAUGGUGAUGAUGAAAAUCAUGAGAUACCUCUCUGUAGAGAGAUAUGCAUUGGUUUACAAAGUCAUGGCAAGCUAAAGAAAAGAUGGUUGAUGGACAUACAGAGCCUCCCAUCAACAAAUAUGAAGACACAUGUAGUCUCCACAAGCUACGGUAUUGCAGAGGCAAACUAUAAGGAGGCACCAGCAAGAUGUGAAAAUUUUGGUAUGCCCAAUUCCCAGUGUACUCUGGGUCCUCAUGGUGGCCUAGGACUCACCUCAAUCUGGGUGGUGGAGGAUGAAUCUCAGUUGCCUCCCUGUCUGAGACAGUCAAUCCACACAUCUUAUCACGUGGCUUGUUGAGUGCAUUACCGCAGAGACAUAGCGCGUGUGGAGGUUCACGCUAUUCUCCGUGGCAUCCACGCACAACUCACCACACACCAAACCGAGAGUGAGAACCACAUUAUAGCGACCACGAGGAGGUUAACCCAAUGUGACUCUACCCACUCUAGCAACUGGGCCAAUUGGUUGCUUAGGAAGCCUGACUGGAUUCACUCAGCACGCCCUGGAUUCGAACUUGCGACUCCAGGUGUGGUAGUCAGUGUCUUUACUUGCUAAGCUACCCAGGCCCCCUGUGGAAUGGAAGUUUAAAUUUCACUGUUGUAAGUCUAUAAAGCAAAGCUCUAGUGGGAAUUUAAAUCUUUGAUUUCGACCCAUAUCUUUAAUGAUGUUAUCCAUUUAUUAAAUUCAUGCACUAGAGAGAGUUAUUGGGACUGUCUUGAAGUUUUCUAAGAUUUAUCUCUGGUUUCAUCCUUGAAAAUCUCUUGAAAAGUCUUGAAAAUUCAUGGGUCAAAAUCUGGGGGAACCUUGUAAGGCUGAG
Molecule: long non-coding RNA, 1363 nt
Organism: Myxocyprinus asiaticus (Chinese sucker)
Lineage: Eukaryota; Metazoa; Chordata; Actinopteri; Cypriniformes; Catostomidae
Exons: 3
Source: RefSeq, a predicted model, not a curated record